Molecule: transfer RNA, 81 nt
Filed under: Acidimicrobiia bacterium
Lineage: Bacteria; Bacillati; Actinomycetota; Acidimicrobiia
Description: tRNA-Cys
Source: RNAcentral
GACGGCGUCACGAUCGGCAGGAAUCGACGUCACAGGUCUGCAAAACCUUCUACGCGGGUUCGAUUCCCGCCGCCGCCUCCA